GAUGAACGCUGGCGGCGUGCCUAAUACAUGCAAGUCGAGCGAACAGAUGAGGAGCUUGCUCCUCUGACGUUAGCGGCGGACGGGUGAGUAACACGUGGAUAACCUACCUAUAAGACUGGGAUAACUUCGGGAAACCGGAGCUAAUACCGGAUAAUAUAUUGAACCGCAUGGUUCAAUAGUGAAAGACGGUUUUGCUGUCACUUAUAGAUGGAUCCGCGCCGCAUUAGCUAGUUGGUAAGGUAACUGCUUACCAAGGCAACGAUGCGUAGCCGACCUGAGAGGGUGAUCGGCCACACUGGAACUGAGACACGGUCCAGACUCCUACGGGAGGCAGCAGUAGGGAAUCUUCCGCAAUGGGCGAAAGCCUGACGGAGCAACGCCGCGUGAGUGAUGAAGGUCUUCGGAUCGUAAAACUCUGUUAUUAGGGAAGAACAAAUGUGUAAGUAACUAUGCACGUCUUGACGGUACCUAAUCAGAAAGCCACGGCUAACUACGUG
RNAcentral lists this ribosomal RNA (497 nucleotides) under uncultured bacterium. RNAcentral's name for it is "partial 16S ribosomal RNA". It matches the Rfam family "Bacterial small subunit ribosomal RNA", at positions 28 to 507 of the family's 1533-position model. The record is from RNAcentral.